AGCAGCCGCGGUAAUUCCAGCUCCAAUAGCGUAUAUUAAAGUUGUUGCAGUUAAAAAGCUCGUAGUUGAAUUUCGGGAUUUGCACAUCGGUCGUGCCUUAAGGGGUAUGAACUGGUGUAGUGAAUUUCUCACCUUCUGGAGAACCGUGAUGUCCUUUAUUGGGUGCCACGAGGAACCAGGACCUUUACUUUGAAAAAUUAGAGUGUUUAAAGCAGGCAUUUUUGCUUGAAUACAUUAGCAUGGAAUAAUAAAAUAGGACGGCAUGAUUCUAUUUUGUUGGUUUCUAGGAUCACCGUAAUGAUUAAUAGGGAUAGUUGGGGGCAUUAGUAUUCAAUUGUCAGAGGUGAAAUUCUUGGAUUUAUUGAAGACUAACUACUGCGAAAGCAUUUGCCAAGGAUGUUUUCAUUAAUCAAGAACGAAAGUUAGGGGAUCGAAGACGAUCAGAUACCGUCGUAGUCUUAACCAUAAACUAUGCCGACUAGGAAUCAGACGAUGUUAAUUUUUUAAUGACUCGUUUGGC
This 520-nucleotide ribosomal RNA is filed under the name uncultured Entrophospora. Its description in RNAcentral is "SSU rRNA". It matches the Rfam family "Eukaryotic small subunit ribosomal RNA", at positions 569 to 1084 of the family's 1831-position model. The record is from RNAcentral. Lineage: Eukaryota; Fungi; Glomeromycota; Glomeromycetes; Entrophosporales; Entrophosporaceae.